Molecule: ribosomal RNA, 1190 nt
Filed under: Borrelia miyamotoi
Lineage: Bacteria; Pseudomonadati; Spirochaetota; Spirochaetia; Spirochaetales; Borreliaceae
Description: bacterial SSU rRNA
Rfam family: Bacterial small subunit ribosomal RNA
Source: RNAcentral
GUAGCUAAUACCGAAUAAGGUCAAUUGAGGUGUUAAUUGAUGAAAGGAAGCCUUUAAAGCUUCGCUUGUAGAUGAGUCUGCGUCUUAUUAGCUAGUUGGUGGGAUAAGAGCCUACCAAGGCUAUGAUAAGUAACCGGCCUGAGAGGGUGAUCGGUCACACUGGAACUGAGAUACGGUCCAGACUCCUACGGGAGGCAGCAGCUAAGAAUCUUCCGCAAUGGGCGAAAGCCUGACGGAGCGACACUGCGUGAACGAAGAAGGUCGAAAGAUUGUAAAGUUCUUUUAUAAGUGAGGAAUAAGCUUUGUAGGAAAUGACAAAGUGAUGACGUUAAUUUAUGAAUAAGCCCCGGCUAAUUACGUGCCAGCAGCCGCGGUAAUACGUAAGGGGCGAGCGUUGUUCGGGAUCAUUGGGCGUAAAGGGUGAGUAGGCGGAUAUGCAAGUCUAUGUGUAAAAUACCACAGCUCAACUGUGGAACUAUGCUGGAAACUGCAUGACUAGAGUCUGAUAGGGGAAGUUAGAAUUCCUGGUGUAAGGGUGGAAUCUGUUGAUAUCAGGAAGAAUACCAGAGGCGAAGGCGAACUUCUAGGUCAAGACUGACGCUGAGUCACGAAAGCGUAGGGAGCAAACAGGAUUAGAUACCCUGGUAGUCUACGCUGUAAACGAUGCACACUUGGUGUUAAUCGAAAGGUUAGUACCGAAGCUAACGUGUUAAGUGUGCCGCCUGGGGAGUAUGUUCGCAAGAAUGAAACUCAAAGGAAUUGACGGGGGCCCGCACAAGCGGUGGAGCAUGUGGUUUAAUUCGAUGAUACGCGAGGAACCUUACCAGGGCUUGACAUAUACAGGAUAUAGUUAGAGAUGACUAUUCCCCGUUUGGGGUCUGUAUACAGGUGCUGCAUGGUUGUCGUCAGCUCGUGCCGUGAGGUGUUGGGUUAAGUCCCGCAACGAGCGCAACCCUUAUUGUCUGUUACCAGCAUGUAAAGAUGGGGACUCAGACGAGACUGCCGGUGAUAAGCCGGAGGAAGGUGAGGAUGACGUCAAAUCAUCAUGGCCCUUAUGUCCUGGGCUACACACGUGCUACAAUGGCCUGUACAAAGCGAUGCGAAACAGUGAUGUGAAGCAAAACGCAGAAAGCAGGUCUCAGUCCAGAUUGAAGUCUGAAACUCGGCUUCAUGAAGUUGGAAUCGCUAGU